CCCCAUGCCUUUUCUUUUACCUUCUCUCCCUGUUAGUCUCUUUAAAUAUUCAGGUGUGUAAUGCCUUCCUGACCACAAACGUCAUUCAGAAGGGAAACAGAAGUUAAAAACCUGACAUCACUCUGAAGUUCAUUCGUGGUGUGGGUGUAAACCAGACCCAGCUUUAACAACACAACAUACUUUCUCCUGUGGCUGCCUCUCUUUCUGGUAGUGGAAAGAGGACAACAUUAUCUUUUUCCAGAGCAUCAUCAUCAUGAAUCCUUGUGAGUAGCAGUGAUGGUCCUGGAGUGCAGUGCCAGGGUGAUCUUUAAAGGUGUAAAGCCGUGCCUGCCCGUGAAGAAAGGAGGCUGCACUCUGACCUCUGGCGAUGGCAGGGACCAACCCCAAGGUGAAGCCCGAGCUCUCUGCCGUGAGCUAGCCCGCCGGCACCGCACGGCACGGCCCCUCCGAGGGCUCCGCGUUCCCCCCGCACCGAGCCAGCCCGGGGCAGGGCGGGCUCGGCGGAGCGCCAGCGCUGCCCUUUCCCCGCCGCUCCCCUCGCACAGCACCCGGGUGCCUCCUGCCGACCGGCCGCUCCCAGGGCCCUUCCCAAGGGUCCAUCCCCACGCGCGACCUGGUGGCCGUGGCCUCCCAGCGCCCGCUCGGGUCGUGUCCCCGCAGUGCGCUCCGCCGGGGCCGGGCGGGGGCCGGGCGGUGUCCGGAGGGUGUCCGGAGGGUGUCCAGGCGGUAUCCGGAGGGUGUCCGGAGGGUGUCCGGGCAGUGUCCGGGCGGUGUCCGGAGGGUGUCCGGGCAGUGUCCGGGCGGUGUCCGGAGGGUGUCCCGCAGUCCCGCAGUGGCACCUGCUGCCAGGCCCGGGCAGCGCCGCCGCCCCGGGCAGUCCGUGGUUUAAACGCCGUUUGCCAGCGACGGGGACCGUUUGUUGCACUCGACCCAUGACCCGCUGGUGGGAUCAGGAUUGCGAACCUGAUGCCUUCGUUCCAGCGGGAUUCUGCCUGCCUGAGGACCUGGCCCGUUAAGCGAAAGGACGAACGCCUGCAGAAACACCUUCCUGCAGGCACAGCAGGCGGCUGUGCAGCACUCACUGGGGUGGUGUGCAUGGAGCCCUGACGCAGAGCUGUUAAAACCAGCAGUUAGCCAAGCGAGCAGAACAAGACCGGGAAUGCUAAACAUGGCACCCUCAAAAUCAUAUGAGCAAAGCGCUUGUUUAUCCUCACACCUUGGGAACAGCCUAUUAGUGCAGGUGAUGGAUGAUGAAGGAUGGGGUGCAGGGCCUAGAGCUUGCUGGGGAGUCUGGGAAGGACCAAGGUUCCCUGGCUGGAUGAGCUCCCUGCCUCAUGUGUGCUACAGGGGGUGGCCUCCUUCCUUCCCCAUUUCCUGCAAGAGAAGGUAGAGCUUCUGCAAGAGUAGUUCAUAAACAACAGUGUCAUGGGAUGUUUUCAGAGCAACUGAAGGUCUGCUCCACUUCCACAGAGAUCAUGAAAGUCUUACUGUUGACAAUAUCCUGCUUCACCUCCAGUUGUUAUUCCAGCAGAAGAGAUGUGUCUCGUGGUCCUGUGUCACAUCUGCAAGCCCUUUGGGCUGCUGAUCCUUGUCCUUUGUGAAGCUGUGCCAGGCACUGAUUUAUCAGCGAUCCAGUAAAAUGCUGCAUCCUACCUUAAAACUCCUGAAGACAGAAAACAAAUUCAUAAGCUUUGGUCUGCAGGUGUCAACACACAAACUUGCCUGCACAGGUGGGAGAGUUCAAUCCUGUCCAUCGGUUGCAUUCCGUGCUUUCAAAGACCUGCGUCAGCAUUUUUCAAGCCUGUACACACUUGAAUUGGAACAGGAAGAAAACAUCCACAAAACUCAAGUGAAUGAACUGGUCAAAAAGUCUUGAAAGAGCGAAGUGGAGAUCCAGCAAAUGUGUAUGUCUGAUCCAGUCUACCCUUUCCAUACACUACUGAUACCAUGUUCUAAAAAUUUUUGUACCACUCUGAGCAAAGAUCCAGCUGUGGUGUCCAAACCAGGUGAGAUCUGGCAGGUUGGCAUCCCAGGGACCCAUGUACCACACCACUGUAACGUGCACUGCACUUCAACAGCAGAUUUUGUAUUAGCUUUGAGACAAACUGCAAACUACAGUACGGCCAUGGAUUUGCUCCUGAGAACAGAACAAGCUUGUCCAUGGGUAUAGUGACUUGUAGCUCUUUUCCAAAUGAUCCAGCUCUAGGAAAGGAAAAUAUAAGGGUCUUGCACUGAUGUGAGCUUAAUGAUUUGGGGAUUUGGCUGUACUUAAUGGCUCUGCCAAAUGAGUGGAAAGACCACCUCUGCUCUGCUUCUGCUCCUCCUGUUCUUUCUAGGACCAAAAAGGAGGUGAGGGCACAGCCUACCUCCUGUAUGCAGGCAAGUGAAAGGGGAGGAGAGCAUCCUGUUUUGCUUGUGUCUGCCACAGCCUGGAAACCAGCAGUGUGGAGCUCAUCUUGUCCUUCCCCCUCCCCAAACCCAGCAAACCAGGCAAUAUUUCUCAGACACUUUCUACUCACCUAGAUUCAGGAAAUUUACAGAGGAAUAAGUAACACAAAAAGAGCACAACGGGUCUGAAUUUAAGGGAUCUUCACCUUUCCCCAUCCUCAGUUUCUCAAGUUGAGACUUCAUCUCAGUUCAUUACAUGCUUAAAGCAGAGAUCAGCUCUUCCUUCUUGUUCAUGCAGUGCUGGGAAAACUGGUUGUACUUUUGUUCAGAGAAGAAUAAACAGCAACCACUGACAUGGUCAGCUUGUUUCUACCAUCAUCACUGAUCUCGGUCUGUCAACUGCUUUUGCUGCUUAUUUGUUGGCAAAGACACUCAAACCAAAGGUCCUUUGGGAGACACAAAGACAAUAGAAGGAAACAUUUGCCUGAUGUCUGAUGUUACCGCAAAGAGCUGGCCAGUGCACAUAAGAAUAUUGGACUUAUGAUGGAAAAUUUAAUGGGAAAAUGGAAUAGGACUUGUGCUUCUCAGUGCCUAUCUGCUCCCUGACAUAUGGUCCAACUCUGGCUGAAAUCAGCCUUUUUCACCUCUACAGCUGAAAGGCUUUGGGGCUCAGCUAGGCCAGGGUACCAGUCAUAGCACCUCCCCUAGUCAUUCCUUGUUUUCUGUUCCCAAUCCCAUCGUGUCAUCCAGACUUCCAGAAAUAGACAGCUGUUCCCAUUUGAGUAGUCCUGAUGUGGAGUACAAUUUAAACCCAAGACACCAACCUUCUAAUCCUUCAGGGAGUUUUUCCUUAGGUGCAUUUUGGGUCUUCCCUCUUGCACCAGAAACAUCCUAGUCCAGACACAAGCUGCAACUAUUCUGUGCAGCUGCUUCUUGUUAUCAAAAGAGUUCCUGUCUAUGUGUGAAAUGAAAGCUAGUUAUAAAAGAAGAGAAAAAUCUAUGCCAAGUGGAUUCCCUGGGGUUGGGCAUGAGGCUGUGGGACUGUCUUAAACCCGAGGAGGUUAAUUUUUGGUUAUGCAAACAAGCUCUGGAUGGAAAAUGUUGCCUGCUGAGGCUUGCUACUCUCACCACAACUAAUGUGUAGAAACUUGGUGUAUGUGGAGGUUGUGUCUCUGGGAAGUAUUGUGAUGGACCACUGUCAGUGCAGGAAACCUACAGAAAGUGGCAUGGUCAGUGGUCUGUCAGGCUGUUUUCAGUGGAUUUAUUAUAGAUUUAGUAACAUUUCAUUGUUAUUUUAUAUAUAUUCAGCUUUACUAGUUAGUCAUCCAAGCAAAGGGGUUUGCAAUGGAAGCUACUGCAGCUCAGGAGGACAAUGUAUAUGAGUACCAGCAGAGCUCAUGCCACAACAGCUCCAAGCAUAGGGUUGUGUAAUUUGAAAGGGAGAGUACCUGUCUCUCACCCUCUGUUGCACUAACUUGAACUUGUUUUGCAGUGGAACUCAUACAAAAAAGAUACGUAUGGUUGUUUUUGAAGUGUAAAGACAAAAGAACUUGUUGAUAGCACAAGGACAAAGGCACAAACACACUAGAAAGGGUGGGCAAGAAGAGUUUAAGGACAGGUUCAACAACACAUUCAGAUGGGAAGAAGACAUUCUGCAGUAAACACAGGCAAGACAAGCUGUUCUGUA
Long non-coding RNA from Pseudopipra pipra, 4075 nucleotides. RefSeq lists it as uncharacterized. NCBI's taxonomy places the organism in Eukaryota, Metazoa, Chordata, Aves, Passeriformes, Pipridae. The transcript is spliced from 3 exons. The record is from RefSeq and is a predicted model, not a curated record.